CCAGCAGCAACAUGAUGGAGACCAGCAGUACUUCUUGAUCCGGUAUCUGAAUCAUUGGUCGUCAGUGUUUCCGCGGAAAGCGUGUAGAGGGAGAUGGUUCUGCCGAUAACCGGCACACUAAGGUAGGUGUAGGUCUGGACGCUGGUGCUGUUGGAGGCGCGCCGGUCGAGCUCAGCCAUCACUCAGCCGGGCAGUACUUUGAGCUGUCACAGAAAUAUCAUGAUCAUCUUUUAGCGAAUACAAAGGUGUUUAUAACUUCAUAAGCAAAGACAUGUAGUGUUGCUUGUAUAUUGAGAGAUACUACAGGAAUUGACACAGUCAUAGCUUUCUUUCACAUGUAACAGGCUAGGCGGGGCGGUCGAUUUGCAGCGGGGUGGCGUGAGGAAUAUCUCGUUUGGAAGAGCAGGUGGAGUACAAGGUCGCGUCAAGGUCCAAUGACCAGAAUAUCGGCUCCACAGAGGACGCCAUCACAGGUGCGGUCCAAUGACCGGAAUAUCGGCUCCACAGAGGACGCCAUCACAGGUGCGUUGAUCUCAAUCUUCUCCUCCAUUGCCAUUGUCUUCAUUACCCGUGUGUGUAGCAGGUGUGCUCUCACACUCAAGAAUUUUCAGUACGUGAUGGGUUCUUUCUAAUUCAGAUCUUGCUUGCCUUAUCGUGACAUCUUCUUUGCCAUGGUAAGCACAUCAUGGUUCGUUCGCCCUCAUGACUUUUUAUUAUGACAUUAAUGGAGUUCAGAAAGCAGUUUUAGUGAAGAUCGAAUGGUUUUUAGAUUAAGUAGAUAAUACAAGAGUACUCUUCUGUAGUGUAUUGUUGUUCAACUGAGACAUAUGCAGUGG
Molecule: long non-coding RNA, 836 nt
Filed under: Triticum aestivum (bread wheat)
Lineage: Eukaryota; Viridiplantae; Streptophyta; Magnoliopsida; Poales; Poaceae
Description: long non-coding RNA (TAES_LNC001133)
Source: RNAcentral